This 88-nucleotide small RNA is filed under the name Brugia malayi. Its description in RNAcentral is "RNA transcript Bm16732". Lineage: Eukaryota; Metazoa; Nematoda; Chromadorea; Rhabditida; Onchocercidae. The record is from RNAcentral.
AGAGCAGGCUGGCCUCGAACUCACAGAGAGCUGCCUGCCUCUGCCUCCCUGAGUGCUGGGAUUACAGGGGUGCACCACCACACCUGGU